This 276-nucleotide long non-coding RNA is filed under the name Capsicum annuum. RNAcentral describes it as "long non-coding RNA (CANN_LNC020197)". Lineage: Eukaryota; Viridiplantae; Streptophyta; Magnoliopsida; Solanales; Solanaceae. The record is from RNAcentral.
GGGGAUGAUUUUUAACGAUAGAGACUACAGGCCAACAAGCCAAGCAAUGAUGGAAAUAGGCACCUUGAAGGAGAACCCGGGUGAAGCACUGAAGUAUAUGCAAACAGAACCACUGAUCAUGAAAGGAGUGAGUUCCAUUAUAAGACCCCGAGAUUCAGAAAAGAUGGUAUUGUAUGUUCCUGUAAAGCUAAAGGGAAUAACACAAGAUCGGCCAAAACUAUAUGUUUCGAGCGGUCCCGCAUGGUUCGACCAAUAGCGCAACAACAUGAGAAAGAU